RNAcentral lists this ribosomal RNA (253 nucleotides) under uncultured bacterium. Its description in RNAcentral is "partial 16S ribosomal RNA". It matches the Rfam family "Bacterial small subunit ribosomal RNA", at positions 524 to 776 of the family's 1533-position model. The record is from RNAcentral.
UACGUAGGGUGCAAGCGUUGUCCGGAAUUAUUGGGCGUAAAGAGCUCGUAGGCGGUCUGUCGCGUCUGCUGUGAAAACUCGGGGCUUAACCCCGGGCCUGCAGCGGGUACGGGCAGACUAGAGUGCGGUAGGGGAGACUGGAAUUCCUGGUGUAGCGGUGAAAUGCGCAGAUAUCAGGAGGAACACCGGUGGCGAAGGCGGGUCUCUGGGCCGUAACUGACGCUGAGGCGCGAAAGCGUGGGGAGCAAACAGG